GCCGGAGGAGAGUCAUGGUGCGGCAUGUAAGCAGAGAGGAAGAUUCCGACAGAGACUUUGGCCGGAAACCUUUCCAUAGCAAGAGAGGUUCCAAUGCCACCAUAGCUAUGACCAACAAGAACUACUUUCUCGUUUUCAGGAAGAGACUCCAUGAAACUCAUCAAAGGCUCUAGAUACUCCGACACCAAACGAACCUCAUGGAGCCGCCUCGUGUCGACACCGGACCCACCAAGGUCGAUAGCUGUCACACGGUGACCAUCGAGCUUGAGCUUUGCAGCUAGUUUGAACCAGCACCAUGCUCCAUGACAUGAGCCGUGGACAAAGACGAAGUGAUGGAGUUGUUGUUGUUGCUGCAUGUGGUGUGUUUGCAUUUGGUAGUGUUUGGUAAGUCAUGUUAUCUUUGUCCAUUCGUGUGUUAUAUAUACACAUGAGGGCACAUAGUUUUCUGGUUCUGCUUAAUCG
This 462-nucleotide long non-coding RNA is filed under the name Arabidopsis lyrata. Its description in RNAcentral is "long non-coding RNA (ALYR_LNC001781)". The record is from RNAcentral. Lineage: Eukaryota; Viridiplantae; Streptophyta; Magnoliopsida; Brassicales; Brassicaceae.